CCUCAGUAACGGCGAGUGAAGCGGCAACAGCUCAAAUUUGAAAUCUGGCUCCUUCGGGGCCCGAGUUGUAAUUUGCAGAGGAUGCUUCGGGUACGGGUUCCUUCCGAGUUCCCUGGAACGGGACGCCAUAGAGGGUGAGAGCCCCGUCUGGUAGGACACCCAGCCCGUGUGAAGCUCCCUCGACGAGUCGAGUAGUUUGGGAAUGCUGCUCUAACGGGAGGUAUACUCCUUCCAAGGCUAAAUACCGGCUGGAGACCGAUAGCGCACAAGUAGAGUGAUUGAAAGAUGAAAAGCACUUUGAAAAGAGAGUCAAAUAGCAGGUGAAAUUGUUGAAAGGGAAGCGCUCGCUACCAUACAUGGGUUCGGCGGUUCAACCGGGGCCACGCCCCGGGGCACUCCGCCGGCCCAGGCCAGCAUCAGCUUUCCGUCGGGGGCAAAGACGUCGGGAAUGUGGCUCCCCUCCGGGGGAGUGUUAUAGCCUCGGCGUGUCAUACCCUUCGGGGGGCUGAGGUACGCGCUUCUGCAAGGAU
Molecule: ribosomal RNA, 530 nt
Filed under: Gibellulopsis nigrescens
Lineage: Eukaryota; Fungi; Ascomycota; Sordariomycetes; Glomerellales; Plectosphaerellaceae
Description: LSU rRNA
Rfam family: Eukaryotic large subunit ribosomal RNA
Source: RNAcentral